UCAGCUUGUUGGUGAGGUAAUGGCUCACCAAGGCGACGACGGGUAGCCGGCCUGAGAGGGUGACCGGCCACACUGGGACUGAGACACGGCCCAGACUCCUACGGGAGGCAGCAGUGGGGAAUAUUGCACAAUGGGCGAAAGCCUGAUGCAGCAACGCCGCGUGAGGGAUGACGGCCUUCGGGUUGUAAACCUCUUUUAGUAGGGAAGAAGCGAAAGUGACGGUACCUGCAGAAAAAGCACCGGCUAACUACGUGCCAGCAGCCGCGGUAAUACGUAGGGUGCAAGCGUUGUCCGGAAUUAUUGGGCGUAAAGAGCUCGUAGGCGGUUUGUCGCGUCUGCUGUGAAAUCCCGAGGCUCAACCUCGGGCUUGCAGUGGGUACGGGCAGACUAGAGUGCGGUAGGGGAGAUUGGAAUUCCUGGUGUAGCGGUGGAAUGCGCAGAUAUCAGGAGGAACACCGAUGGCGAAGGCAGAUCUCUGGGCCGUAACUGACGCUGAGGAGCGAAAGCAUGGGGAGCGAACAGGAUUAGAUACCCUGGUAGUCCAUGCCGUAAACGUUGGGC
RNAcentral lists this ribosomal RNA (561 nucleotides) under Curtobacterium sp. RNAcentral's name for it is "bacterial SSU rRNA". It matches the Rfam family "Bacterial small subunit ribosomal RNA", at positions 241 to 814 of the family's 1533-position model. Lineage: Bacteria; Bacillati; Actinomycetota; Actinomycetes; Micrococcales; Microbacteriaceae. The record is from RNAcentral.